Choloepus didactylus (southern two-toed sloth) is the source of this 161-nucleotide long non-coding RNA. RefSeq lists it as uncharacterized. The transcript has 3 exons. Lineage: Eukaryota; Metazoa; Chordata; Mammalia; Pilosa; Megalonychidae. The record is from RefSeq and is a predicted model, not a curated record.
AAAACGUGGAACUGCUGAGAUCAGCGAAAUCUACCAUUCGCUUUUCUUUAGCCAGAGGAGGCCAAUGAACACACUGACUGGAGCUCUGGCAGCCACCUUGGACCAUGAGGUGACUUUGGGAAUGGAGGCCAAGUCUGGCAGAACAACAUGACAGAAGUAGC